GGACGGGUGAGUAAUGUCUGGGAAACUGCCUGAUGGAGGGGGGUAACUACUGGAAACGGUAGCUAAUACCGCAUAACGUCGCAAGACCAAAGAGGGGGACCUUCGGGCCUCUUGCCAUCGGAUGUGCCCAGAUGGGAUUAGCUAGUAGGUGGGGUAAAGGCUCACCUAGGCGACGAUCCCUAGCUGGUCUGAGAGGAUGACCAGCCACACUGGAACUGAGACACGGUCCAG
Molecule: ribosomal RNA, 231 nt
Filed under: uncultured bacterium
Lineage: Bacteria
Description: partial 16S ribosomal RNA
Rfam family: Bacterial small subunit ribosomal RNA
Source: RNAcentral